Non-coding RNA from Anas platyrhynchos (mallard), 3644 nucleotides. The record is from RefSeq and is a predicted model, not a curated record. Lineage: Eukaryota; Metazoa; Chordata; Aves; Anseriformes; Anatidae.
AGGUUUAAAGACAUCAUCGGUCCCUUCAACUGCUCUUUGCUUGUGGUUAGAGAGCAAGUCUUUGCAAGCCAGCAGAUGAUGGGACUUUGAUUUCCUGUGUGUCAUUAUUUAUUUUGAAAACUGAUACGCAGAAUUUUGCUGUUCCAGUAAAGCCUCUGCUGAGGUGGUGAAAUCAGCCUGGAUCGUGCCCUGCCAGCGGCCUGGGGUUUCUUACCCUGUGCCCCCAUGCAUGUGACAAGGAGGUUUGGCCAGAGCCGGCAGCCUCUGUGGGCCGGGUACUACGCUCUUCCUCACACCUGGCUUCCCCUGCUGAGUUUCUUGGAAGUGCCCAUUGCAGGAAUGUGGGGUGGUUCUUGUGUUGUGCUACAGACCAGAGGAUGUUGAUCAGGGCGCGGGUGUCAUGUCCUGUUUCCAAAGCAUCCACAAAGAGCUUGGAAAUCCUCUCCCCGAACUCCACGUUGUCGCUGCAGCCUCCCCAGACCCAGCCGCGGCCACCUGCAAGACAGAUGUGUGGUAAGAACAGAACCACCCUGACGGAGUGAAUCCUGCCCCAGGACUCGCACUGAGCUGAGGGCUGGGAUGAUGCCAGCCCGUCUUGUUGCCAGCUCAGAGGGGCUGGAGCCCAGCCGUGGCAGGCAGCACACCGGCAGCUCACCGACGCGCCCGUUCCUGGAGUCGUCGCAGCCGCAGCUCUCGAAGUCGCCCAUGCUGCAGUUCCUGGUCAGGGUGUACAUGACGCCGGCGGAGCUGAUGGCGUGCACGAAGGACGUCUCUCUGGUAGCUGGGGGAGAGGAGAAAAAAGCUGUCACAUGCAAACGUACGCACUGGUCCUGGUUUAUUGGGAAGGGAGCUCUCUUGUGAAACCUUCAGCGUUGCAAAGGUGCAAGAAGAGAAUAACAAAACAGUUUGUGCAAAAGGUGCCUCUAGCACUGUGCUCCCUGAGAUGCGGCACAAAAGCAGCAGGAGCGAGCCCACGGACCAGCACUGCAGAAAAGGCUCUCCCUUAGCACGGAUAAAGAUCAUAGAGAAAAUAUUAGCAUCAUUUGUGAGACCAAUUAAUGCAGAUGGAGAAAAGCCAGCCUGGUAUCUGAGGGACAGAAAACCUCCCCAUCGGCUGGCUGCUCUCUUCAGAGCACCCCCCGUCUCCUGUCGGAGGCACCCUGUGGGCACUCACCGCUGCGCAGGCGGUUGUGCGUUGAGAGCUGCAGCGCGCUCUCGGGGCAGUUCCAGCGCUCCCACCCGAACUGGAACUUGCACUCCUCCAUCCCGCUCUGCGCGCCCGCCGCCACGCUGCUGGAGUAUGUCAGGUACGCCUGCAUGGGAAAGCGUGGGUGAGAUCCUCAGCACUUCAGCUUUUAUCCAUGAAAACAGAGCCAGAAGGGUUGUGGGUCCUUUUCCUUGUUACUCAACCCGGUUUGGAGCCGAUACGCUCUGGGAGCUCUGGUUCUUUAGAAAAGCAAUAUUUCCCAUUUGCAAAACAAAAUGGCUUUACUUAAAUUGCUGAUAGUGACUGUGUUAAUUACCUUAGGUCCUGUCAUCAGAAAGUUGUUCACAGACCUGAAACGAAGAGAAGGAAACGAGUCGCACGAUUUAACACAGGCUCAAGAGCAUCCCCCAGGAAUGCCCCUUCUGCUGAAUCCUACCAUGCUGCUGCGUUGAAAAUGACACCGCAGAUGCCCAUGAUGGAGAGGAUGAGGAAGGUGGUGCUGCUCAUGGCUGUCAAAGCCCAGGAGUUGGAUCCCUCUGGCUGAUCCGCAGCUCCCACGCCGCAGGUCUCUGGGCAGGGCCGCCUCGCCGCACCGAGUCCCAACGUAUCUCGAGAUAUUCGGGUCCAGGAAAGCUGCAGGAACCUACAACCCUGAUAUUUAUAAGGUGAAGUUCUGAAUAGUCAAAACCCCCCAUUCAUUUGCUACCCAAUGACUUAAUGUGGUAAAAAAGCUCCUGCGCCAAUGGGUGACAAGGAAACGCCUAAUGUUGCACUUCAAAAGGCAGAGCGGUGUCACCGGGAGCUGUGAUGAUGUGAGGAGAGCAAACUUCCCUAACAAUGGGCGACUUUUAACUCCACUCCACACCAGCGCCAUCCCUUUCUCUCUGCCCCAAGUGCACUUGCCUUCUCCCUUUCACACCCCGCUUGCGAGCAGAGGCCGGGCCCCUGCGUGCCCAGCAAUAACAAACCCGUGCAUUUCUAUGGUUCCCCUGCCAGCCGCCUGCUCCCUACCAGGAGAGCUCCCCGAGGAGUUUUAGCAGCACUCCUCUACAGAUCCACCGGGGGUAGACCUCCCAGGUCUUCUCGAUUUGACGAGAUUCGUUUAACGGCGAUUUUUUUCCCCCCUCCUCGCCUCCUUAGGAUGAAAGCUUCUGUAUUUCCAUCCUGAUAACAACAGCGUGCACGGCGCAGGAGUGUUUGGAAAUCUCUCUAAUUUACGCGGCUGCAGCUUGGGAACACUGUGUGAAUCACUUAUGUGGUUUGCUCCAUGCUUCAACGCUGUAAUUAGGGGAACAGUUUUCCGGGGGUAGCAAUUUCCCUGCAGUGAGGUCUGCCCCGGCAGCGGCCGGGCUCUGGCUGGCUCCGCGCACAUGAGCACUGCUGAGAGCCGAGCGAGGGCCUCGGCCCCUCUGCUUCAUACCCCUGCGCUUGGGAGGGGAAAAUCCUUAUCAGAGGAAACCCCAAAAAGCCUCUCUUAUGGUCAUCCAUGUGUUAUAUGUCAAUAUUACUUAUCAAUGGUUAUGGUCAUGCAUAAUCGUUGUGGUACAUCCUUUAGGCUGUAAGGGAGCAGAAGCGAGACUUUGUUCCUGGAAACUUCUCGUUUUGUUUUCCUGGGGCUGCGCAGGGCUCGUCCUUGUCCCACUGCUCUCGUUAUCCCAUCGAGACGGUGACAUCUGGUCUCCUGCUGCUAAUAGCUGUAACUGCAAGGUGAGGCACUGAGGGCCUGCAGCCUGGACGUUUCAGCAGCUUGGAUUGUACCACACACUGCUGUGCUGGCCGGGGGCAGAGGAGCCAGCAGGAAUAAAGACUUAUGCCACAAACGUGAUUGCAAAGUGCUCUGUGGGCUGCCGCGAAAUGCGUGCGAGCACGGUGAGCAGCUGCAUGGUUUUCCACAUCCUGGCUCUGGGUGCCCGAGGCCCUGCACACACACAGCCUCGGCUCCAUCCCAUCAGCUCUGUGACAUUUCUGACCUCGGGGAGCACAGGGACCCCCCCCGCCCUGCUCCCCGUGUCGGUCAGUGGGCGAGAGGAACCUCCCCGGCCAGCCCACGCAGAAGGGAAACCUGGAGUCAGCGCGGCAAAGCCACAAACAACUGUUUGCAGUCAGAGGAUUAAAAAUGCAGAUCGGUUCAGAAGCAGGGAUGCAAAAUACCUUCCAAGUGAGCACCACGCUGGUGUACUCCUGCCAGCACGGCAAAACCCUCUGUGAGUCAGCAUUUUAAUCAUUACCAUCCUGAGCAGAUCCUGCUUGUUAGAGCUGUCAAAGGACAAUUACUGGGAAUGAAGUGUUUCCCAUGUAUCAGUGAGGUUCAUUGAUUAAAGCCCAUGCAUAUGACUUGGAAAUCUGCUGUGCAUUUUCUCUGUGCAUGCAUGUCAUUUUGGGGUUUGUGUCUGGCUGUCCCCGGGGGCAUAUUGGUGGUUGUGUUUUAUUUUUUUUU